Molecule: ribosomal RNA, 491 nt
Filed under: uncultured bacterium
Lineage: Bacteria
Description: partial 16S ribosomal RNA
Rfam family: Bacterial small subunit ribosomal RNA
Source: RNAcentral
GAUGAACGCUGUCUACAGGCUUAACACAUGCCAGUCGAGGGGAAACGCCGGGGAAGCUUGCUUCCCCGGGCGUCGACCGGCGCACGGGUGAGUAACGCGUAUCCAACCUGCCUCUGACUGAGGGAUAACCCGUCGAAAGUCGGCCUAAUACCUCAUGGCAUCGUCUGCGGGCAUCCAACGACGAUUAAAGAUUUCAUCGGUCAGGGAUGGGGAUGCGUCUGAUUAGCUUGUUGGCGGGGUAACGGCCCACCAAGGCUACGAUCAGUAGGGGUUCUGAGAGGAAGGUCCCCCACAUUGGAACUGAGACCCGGUCCAAACUCCUACGGGAGGCAGCAGUGAGGAAUAUUGGUCAAUGGGCGGGAGCCUGAACCAGCCAAGUAGCGUGCAGGAUGACGGCCCUAUGGGUUGUAAACUGCUUUUAUGCGGGGAUAAAGUGAGGGACGUGUCCUUCAUUGCAGGUACCGCAUGAAUAAGGACCGGCUAAUUCCGUG